AUUGAACGCUAGCGGGAUGCCUUACACAUGCAAGUCGAACGGAGUGGCGAACGGGUGAGUAAUGUAUCGGAACGUGCCCAGUAGCGGGGGAUAACUACGCGAAAGCGUAGCUAAUACCGCAUACUAUUGGAGCGGCCGAUAUCCGAUUAGCGAGUGGGUGGGGUAACGGUUCACCAAGGCGACGAUCCGUAGCCGGUUUGAGAGGACGACCAGCCACACUGGAACUGAGAAACGGCCCAGACUCCUACGGGAGGCAGCAGUGGGGAAGUGUGGACAAUGGGUGAAACCCUGAGCCAGCCAUCCCGCGUGUGCGAUGAAGGCCUUCGGGUUGUAAAGCACUUUUAGCAGGGAAGCGGUACCUGCAGAAGAAGCACCGGCUAACUACGUGCCAGCAGCCGCGGUAAUUC
RNAcentral lists this ribosomal RNA (407 nucleotides) under uncultured bacterium. RNAcentral describes it as "partial 16S ribosomal RNA". It matches the Rfam family "Bacterial small subunit ribosomal RNA", at positions 30 to 526 of the family's 1533-position model. The record is from RNAcentral.